RNAcentral lists this ribosomal RNA (703 nucleotides) under Syncephalis cornu. RNAcentral's name for it is "eukaryotic LSU rRNA". It matches the Rfam family "Eukaryotic large subunit ribosomal RNA", at positions 129 to 654 of the family's 3401-position model. Lineage: Eukaryota; Fungi; Zoopagomycota; Zoopagomycetes; Zoopagales; Piptocephalidaceae. The record is from RNAcentral.
GAGCAGGUCUCGCAUUGUAGGUUGAUGAAGCGUUUCCUAGUGUUAAACCUUUCCAAUUAAAGUUCCUUGGAACCGGACGUCAAAGAGGGUGAUAACCCCGUGGUUAAUUGAACGACACACCAGUUUAACACGCCUAUGGAGCGUUUUCUUAGAGUCGGAAUGUUUGGGAUUGCAUUCCAAAGCGGGUGGUAAACUCCAUCUAAGGCUAAAUACUGGCGAGAGACCGAUAGCGAACAAGUACCGUGAGGGAAAGUUGAAAAGCACUCUGGAGAGAGAGUCAAACAGUACGUGAAAUUGCUAGCAGGGAAACGUUGGGCACCAGUACACGGCAAUCAAUGUUAAUGAUCAGUCGGCCUAUUGGUGAAUUGUAAUGCGGUGUUUACACUUUGGAGAUUGUCCUAUUAGCGGCGACUCACGUAUUACACUUUUGCUAAUAGGCCGGUGCACUCUUUAACAGCCGGGUCAACAUCGGUUAAUCGCGACGCCCGACAAGUCUGUAGACAAGGUAGCAUUAGUGGGUUCGCCUGCUUUUGAACUUAUAGGUCUAUAGUACGAGGGUGUUAUUGACCGAGGAUAUGCGAUUCGCGCGUUUCGGCGCAGGGCGUAUCGGUCGGGUUAAGGCCGCCCGUGGUGCUAAGCAGCAUGCUGAUUAGUAUCCAUUCUAUUAUACUUUGUAUAAUAGCGGUGGUCGCUCGGCCGGUAC